AACGAACGCUGGCGGCAUGCCUAACACAUGCAAGUCGAACGAGACCUUCGGGUCUAGUGGCGCACGGGUGCGUAACGCGUGGGAAUCUGCCCUCAGGUACGGAAUAACUCAGGGAAACUUGAGCUAAUACCGUAUAAUGACUUCGGUCCAAAGAUUUAUCGCCAGAGGAUGAGCCCGCGUAGGAUUAGCUAGUUGGUGAGGUAAAAGCUCACCAAGGCGACGAUCCUUAGCGGUCUGAGAGGAUGAUCAGCCACACUGGGACUGAGACACGGCCCAGACUCCUACGGGAGGCAGCAGUGGGGAAUAUUGGACAAUGGGCGAAAGCCUGAUCCAGCAAUGCCGCGUGAGUGAUGAAGGCCUUAGGGUUGUAAAGCUCUUUUACCCGGGAUGAUAAUGACAGUACCGGGAGAAUAA
Molecule: ribosomal RNA, 414 nt
Filed under: uncultured bacterium
Lineage: Bacteria
Description: bacterial SSU rRNA
Rfam family: Bacterial small subunit ribosomal RNA
Source: RNAcentral